Molecule: ribosomal RNA, 494 nt
Rfam family: Bacterial small subunit ribosomal RNA
CUGGGGCGGCUACACAUGCAGUCGAGCGGCAGCGGGGAGUAGCUUGCUACUUUGCCGGCGAGCGGCGGACGGGUGAGUAAUGCUUGGGAACUUGCCUUUAGGAGGGGGAUAACCACGGGAAACUGUGGCUAAUACCGCAUAAUGUCUACGGACCAAAGCGGGGGCUCUUCGGACCUCGCACCUAAAGAUAGGCCCAAGUGAGAUUAGCUAGUUGGUGGGGUAAAGGCCCACCAAGGCGACGAUCUCUAGCUGUUCUGAGAGGAUGAUCAGCCACACUGGGACUGAGACACGGCCCAGACUCCUACGGGAGGCAGCAGUGGGGAAUAUUGCACAAUGGGGGAAACCCUGAUGCAGCCAUGCCGCGUGUGUGAAGAAGGCCUUCGGGUUGUAAAGCACUUUCAGUGGUGAGGAAGGCUUGUAGGUUAAUAGCCUGCAAGAUUGACGUUAGCCACAGAAGAAGCACCGGCUAACUCCGUGCCAGCAGCCGCGGUAAU